UACGUAGGUGGCAAGCGUUGUCCGGAUUUACUGGGCGUAAAGAGCGCGCAGGCGGCUGGUCAAGUCCGAUGUGAAAUCUCCCGGCUCAACUGGGAAACUGCAUCGGAAACUGAUCGGCUUGAAGGUGGGAGAGGGUAGUGGAAUUCCCGGUGUAGUGGUGAAAUACGUAGAGAUCUGGAGGAACACCGAUGGCGAAGGCAGCCCCCUGGGCUAACACUGACGCUCAUGCACGAAAGCGUGGGGAGCAAACAGG
Molecule: ribosomal RNA, 253 nt
Filed under: uncultured bacterium
Lineage: Bacteria
Description: partial 16S ribosomal RNA
Rfam family: Bacterial small subunit ribosomal RNA
Source: RNAcentral